GCGAGCUGCGGGGCGGCGGGUGCGGGGCCGCCGGCCGCGGGCUGCUUCCCGGCCGGGCCCCGCCGCCGUCUCCCGCCCUGCGCGCGCCGGCUCGCAGCUGUCGGACCCCGGGGCGAGCCGCGUCCGAGCCGAGGUGCGUCUCUCUUUCAGGGAAACCCCUCGGCGCCGGCUCCUCCGCCGCUCGGGCAGCGGGGCCGGCGCUGGGGCGCCGACGGCCGGCGGGCAGCGGCCUGGCCUCCGAGGUGGCGCUGCCUCCGCGUCCCCGGACCCCCGGGCAGGAGCGCACCCCGGUGCCCCUCGGCGCGGCGCGGCGCGGCGUCCGCGGGCCCCUAGGUCUUCGCGGGUCACCCGGCAGUGCAGACGCGGGAGGCGGCCGAGCUCUGCGGGCUUCUGCAGUUGGGAAAACUUUGAGCCGGGGCAGCCGGGAAGCCGCGGCGACAGGUUGCUGCAGAGGCACAUGCUGUGGUUCCUCCUCUAUCCUGCGUGAUGGACAGAGCCUUCUAUCCCUGCGUGGUGGAAUUUCAGCAGAAAAAUGUGCCCUCCCCUCGUCCUGGGUUCCAGAGCCCUUCCUGAUUGACUUCAUGCCUGUGAAAGCUGCCAAGACACAUCCUCCAUGUCACUCACGCCACGUGGCCCCCUCCACCAUCUAGUGGAAACCCACAUGGCCUGUGGUUCCAGCUCCCGGGAGUAAGCGGAGUGCCUUCCAGGCUAACCAUAGGGCGGUCAUUGACUGAGGGUGCUAGGUAGGUGAACUUCAUCUCUUGUGCGGACAAUAUUUACAUUUUAAUAUGGGACCAUCAGUGCAUUGACCCAAAGCUCCUGGAAGAGAGGAAACCCACAUUCUGAAUGGGGCUUGGAGUAUGUAUGGAGUGGAGGCUCCUCUUCCCAAACAUUCUUUGAAGGAAGGAAGCUUUAACACCCCUUUGGCCAAAGAUGGGUCCUCCUUGGAGGCAGCCAAGGACAGAACCAAACUGAAGUCUUCAGAACCCUGCCCAUCUGUCUCGAGCUGCUCAGCUGUAGUCACAGAACACCACGGACCGGGUGGUUUCAACAAGGCAGAUUUAUGUUCUCUCAGUUCUGGAGGCGGAGAGUCCAAGGUCGAGGUGUCAGCAGGGCUGGGUUCUCCAGAGGCCUCUCUCUGAGGUAUGCAGAUGGCCGCCUUCUGCCUGUGUCCUCCCGAGGCCUUUCCUCUGCCCACACUCCCGCUGUCUCUCCUGGUCCAAACUUCCUCCUUACAGGGAUGCCAGGCAGAUUAGAUUUGAGGCCGCCCUACUGGCUUCGUUUUAACUUAAUCACGUCUUUAAAGGCCCAGUGUCCAAAUACACUCAUAUUUUAAUGUAUUGAGGGUAAGGUCUUCAACAUAUGCAUUUGGGGGUGGGGGGGACACAGUGCAACCCACGGCACAAUCCAUGGCUCCCGGCCCUUUUCCCCACCCGAGCAGCACAAGGAUUCAUCAGCUGAAGCUACAUUCGUUUCUGACCCUGUAACCUAUCCUUCAGCUUUGGUUCAAAAGUCAAGAAGCUCUGAGACUUUCCCCUCUUCGGGGUUAAAGAAAAUGAAGAUACCUUUGUUAAAAUCAAAACACAAAUAUGAAGCAUAUCAUGGGGCACCAUGUUCCCUCCAGUAAUACUUUUUAGCUGGUUGUUACCGAGGGUUAGAUCUGGUCACCCUGAUAUAGUUCUUUCAACUAUUCACAUUUGCAUGGUUCAUAAUCGAGAGAGAGCCUCAGAUUUGAAGGAAACACUUUUGAGGACACAAAUUGUAUCCUGAGCCCCCUUGUCUCCUAGGCCGUCAGCAAGCCCUGGGAGGAUGGCCUCGUCCCUGGAGGGGCCCCUGUUCUUUGCAGUAAAGGCACCAGCAUCCUCUCGACAGCAUUUUGGGCAGGAAGAUUUCAAAGGUUUCAGUGAAGACCUAUUCGCAGGCUUCAGAGAAGAGGAGAUGUGUGACAGUGGGCCUGUGAUGCCGGUUCACCUGGGUCCCAUGGGGGGGGCGGCUGGGGCGUAUGUGUGUGAGGAUGUCACCAAGGAAGGACUGCCAGGAGGAUGGAAACUCUGAGUCUGACCCCAUGUUUCCUCAGCAGCUGGGCCUCGCUGCCAGCGAAUGCAUUAUCGCUACAGCAGAGGUGGUGUGAGAGCAUCACUGAUCAUUUUACAAGCUGAGGACUGCGUGACAUUAUCUCUGGGGUUGAGUUAAGUGGUUUGUCUAAGGUCACUUAGCAAGUGUGUAAUAAAUCCAGAAUUAGAACCUUGGCACCCGGCUCAACAGUCUGCAUGCUGGGCCCCAGGCUGACGGACCUGUGGACAUGAUGGGGCUCCCUCCCUCCUCCCCUCCCAAGUCCUAUGAGAGCCACUGCUGCCCUGCUCCCUGGGCCGCCUGAGGGUGCUCCAGGGGCUAGGGGUCAAGACCAGCAUCAGCUGGGGGAGCUCCUGAAGCCCCUCCUUCCUCCCUUCUCCUUCCCCUCCCUCCUCCAUCCCCCUCCCUCCCCUCCUCUCUCCCCCUCCCUCCUCUCUCCCCCUCCCUCCUCUCCUCCCUCCUCUCCCCUUCCCCUCCCAAGUCCUGUGGGAGCCACUGCUGCCCUCCUCCCUGGGGCUGCCUGAGGGUGCUCCAGGGGCCAGGGCCAGGAUCACCAUCAGCUGGGGGAGCUCCUAAAGCCCCUCCCUCCUUCUCCCCUGUCCUUCCCUCUCCUCCUUCCCCCCUCCCUCCCACUCCCCCUCCCUCCCUCUUUCCAUCCCUUCCUUCCCUCUUUUUAAAGAACUCAUUCCCUUAACAAACAGUUGUGGAGGACCACUUUAAAAACUGAACAGUUCUUUGCAUGGUGAGUGAAGCAAAGACAAAUCACAGUUGUCUAAAUAUCUAAAGUAAGUGUCUAAGGUAAAUUAGGUGAAACAUAUCCGAACACCUAAUUAUUACCCGAGGCAGAAGGGCGUGCAACGAGGGACAUGCCAGCUUCGAGACCCCUUGUACCUCCACGGUGUGAUGCUGGGCCCUGCAGAGCUGCUGACUCUCCGUUAGACCCUGCAAAGGACGGUGCAGGGGUGGCAGUGGCUGUGAGGCACCAGGGGGCAGCGACCUGCCAUCCCUCCCAUCCCUCGCUGUGACCCCGGCUGGUCCAGGGGCCCGCUGCACCUGGGCAGCAGCACUGUGUACGGGUGGGGGCUCACAGGCACUCCCAGAGCCAGGCCACCCUGCUCCUGCACAGCCAGAGCCCACAGCAGCCCCUCUGCUUCCCCCUGCUCCAUCCUGCCUCCACCCCCUGUCUGACCGGAGUCUGCCUCCGCCUCCGAGCAGCCUUCCUGCUCCCUUAGCGCCUCUCAGCAGCUGGCUGGCCACCCCCUGCACUGUCCUCACCUGCGACGGCUACUCUAGCGAAGCCCCGGACCAGCUGGCUUAACGGACACUUAUUGUCACCCAUUCUGGGGCUAAAAGCCCAAGAAGGAGGGGUCCCUGGCUUUCCUGUGGAGGUGGAGGAAGAAGCUGCCUCUCUCCUACCUUCCAGAACUUUCUGGCAAUCUCUGCCUAUCCCUUGGCUUGGGACUGAUGACUCUAGACUCUGCUUCCUCCUCACCCGACCUUCUCCCUGGGAGCGUAUCCGUGUCCACAUUUCCCUUUCUCCACACAGGGCACAGUUAUAUUGGCUCGAGGGCUGGCUACUCCAGUGUGAUUCACCUUCAUCAUUUUAUCUGCAACAGAGCUGUUUCCACCUCGGGUCACAUCCUGGGGCACCUGGGUUAGGACCGCAGUGUGUGAAUCUUGGGGCUGACACAUUUCAACCUGUAAUGAUGCUUAAUUAGAUGCUUUAUCUUGACGUUUCUGUUCAGAAAGCCGUGUAGUUCCUGCCCACGUACUGGGCCUGGACUGAUGCGUGGGGACUGGACUUUAGGGACCAACUGAGGAAAGGGGCCAGGGGCCUGUCAUUUGAACCAGGCUGUGAAGGGUGCCUUG
RNAcentral lists this long non-coding RNA (3942 nucleotides) under Canis lupus familiaris (dog). Its description in RNAcentral is "lncRNA (ENSCAFG00845024835.1)". The record is from RNAcentral. Lineage: Eukaryota; Metazoa; Chordata; Mammalia; Carnivora; Canidae.